Picea glauca (white spruce) is the source of this 117-nucleotide non-coding RNA. The record is from Rfam. NCBI's taxonomy places the organism in Eukaryota, Viridiplantae, Streptophyta, Pinopsida, Pinales, Pinaceae.
UUCCUACAACAUAGUGUUAAUGCAUUGGAUCCCAUUAGAACUCCGUUGUUAAGCACACUUAGUCGAGAGUAGUACUAGGAUGGGUGAUCGCAUGGGAAGUCCUAGUGUUUUAUGUAC